RNAcentral lists this ribosomal RNA (465 nucleotides) under uncultured bacterium. Its description in RNAcentral is "partial 16S ribosomal RNA". It matches the Rfam family "Bacterial small subunit ribosomal RNA", at positions 28 to 507 of the family's 1533-position model. The record is from RNAcentral.
GACGAACGCUGGCGGCGUGCUUAACACAUGCAAGUCGAACGCUGAACCCGCUUCGGUGGGGGAUGAGUGGCGAACGGGUGAGUAACACGUGGGCAACCUGCCCCCGGCUCUGGGAUAACUCCAAGAAAUUGGGGCUAAUACAGGAUGUGACCGCUGGCCGCAUGGUCUGGUGGUGGAAAGGGUUUCCGGCUGGGGAUGGGCCCGCGGCCUAUCAGCUUGUUGGUGGGGUAGUGGCCUACCAAGGCGACGACGGGUAGCCGGCCUGAGAGGGUGACCGGCCACACUGGGACUGAGACACGGCCCAGACUCCUACGGGAGGCAGCAGUGGGGAAUAUUGCGCAAUGGGCGGAAGCCUGACGCAGCGACGCCGCGUGGGGGAUGACGGCCUUCGGGUUGUAAACCUCUUUCAGCAGGGACGAAGCGCAAGUGACGGUACCUGCAGAAGAAGCACCGGCCAACUACGUG